Molecule: long non-coding RNA, 449 nt
Filed under: Elaeis guineensis (African oil palm)
Lineage: Eukaryota; Viridiplantae; Streptophyta; Magnoliopsida; Arecales; Arecaceae
Description: long non-coding RNA (EGUI_LNC081656)
Source: RNAcentral
AGACCUUGAAUAGAUCCAAGGUACACUUGCCUUUUGGUAUGGCUCUCACUUUAGUAUUUAGGAGGUUCGGAGUUAGCUUUGAGGGGGAGGCUGUAGCUAGGCUAUCUCACUCCGAUACUAUCAACCGCCAUACUUUGCACCGCAUGGGAUUUUCCAAAACUGAUGGAGGUUGGACAAAAGGUGUGGAAGAGAGAGCUGAGGACAGAGCAGAGGAGGAAGGACCAUCCUCAACCCUCCAUGAUCACAGAGCAGCUUCACCAGAUAUUCAGUUUAUUUCUGAUCACGAGGCUGGCCCGUCAGAGUCUGCGAGGAGGCAUACUUCAGUUCAGCAGUCGGACAGCAGAGCACAUCCUUCAGAGAUCAGAUUGGCUGAUGAUCAGAUAGAGGUGAUAUCUUAGCGUGUAGCUUCCAUACUAUCUCGACAGUUGGGUACUUCAGCUUUUGCACAG